This 497-nucleotide ribosomal RNA is filed under the name uncultured bacterium. RNAcentral's name for it is "partial 16S ribosomal RNA". It matches the Rfam family "Bacterial small subunit ribosomal RNA", at positions 28 to 507 of the family's 1533-position model. The record is from RNAcentral.
GAUGAACGCUGGCGGCGUGCCUAAUACAUGCAAGUCGAGCGAACAGACGAGGAGCUUGCUCCUCUGACGUUAACGGCGGACGGGUGAGUAACACGUGGAUAACCUACCUAUAAGACUGGGAUAACUUCGGGAAACCGGAGCUAAUACCGGAUAAUAUAUUGAACCGCAUGGUUCAAUAGUGAAAGACGGUUUUGCUGUCACUUAUAGAUGGAUCCGCGCCGCAUUAGCUAGUUGGUAAGGUAACGGCUUACCAAGGCAACGAUGCGUAGCCGACCUGAGAGGGUGAUCGGCCACACUGGAACUGAGACACGGUCCAGACUCCUACGGGAGGCAGCAGUAGGGAAUCUUCCGCAAUGGGCGAAAGCCUGACGGAGCAACGCCGCGUGAGUGAUGAAGGUCUUCGGAUCGUAAAACUCUGUUAUUAGGGAAGAACAAAUGUGUAAGUAACUAUGCACGUCUUGACGGUACCUAAUCAGAAAGCCACGGCUAACUACGUG